RNAcentral lists this unclassified non-coding RNA (2319 nucleotides) under Hevea brasiliensis (rubber tree). Lineage: Eukaryota; Viridiplantae; Streptophyta; Magnoliopsida; Malpighiales; Euphorbiaceae. The record is from RNAcentral.
UUAUUUUAUUUUAUUUUAUUUUUGCUUUUUGGCUGGUUUGGAAGCAAAAAUCAAAAACCAAUGCCUAAAAAGGCAAAAGAAUUACAUUUUAUGAAAAGAAAAAUGAAUUUUUUUUUAAUUGUAAUUGCUUUUUUUCUUUUCUUAAGUGAAGCAGAAUUCAUAUAUUUCUCAUGUUUUCUUUCUUGCUAUUAUAAUAAAAAAAUUGGAAAAAAAUAAAUAUUAGGAAAAAAAAUUGAAGAGCAAGAAGUUGAACCAAAUGGCGCCUAAAUUGAAGCCAAUUUACAUGCUUUACUGAAAAUUUGCUUAGUUAUAAGAAGGAAUUGAGAUGAUAACCUCUAAUCAGAGAUAAAAGAAAUGUUAUAAUAUACCCACUAAGGAUUCAAAUAUAAGAUUUCUUACUAUGAUCCCAUGUUUUAAGCUGUUCCAGGAUGAUUUUAACAAUAUUAUUGAACCCAAAUUAAAAAAAUAAAAAAAAAAGGAACAAAGAGCAAAGCACUCCCAAUUAAUUUUUUUUUUAUAACCUCAAUUUUCUCAUAAUCCAAACCAUAACAACAAAUAUGUGAUUGAAUUUUAAAUGCAAAAACUUGAUUGAAGUUAUAACUAUUCUUUGGUUUAUAUAAUUUGAAGGACUUGUGGUUUCACCAAGCUGUGUACUUCCAUUAACUGAAGAAAAUGUGGAGACGGUUUUGGAUGAGGUGCGACCUGGCUUGAUGGCUGAUGGAGGCAAUGUAGUUUUACAUGAGAUAGAUGGUCUUGUUGUAGUACUGAAGCUACAAGGGGCAUGUGGAUCAUGUCCAAGUUCUACAAUGACACUAAAGAUGGGAAUUGAAACUCGGCUGCGGGAUAAAAUUCCAGAAAUCAUGGCUGUGGAACAGAUCCUGGACACUGAAACAGGACUGGAGCUAAAUGAGGAAAACAUUGAAAAGGUAACCGAAAGUAGUUUUAUUUUUUGUUUGAGUCAUUUGGCACUGCUUAUGUUGGACAUAUAGAAUGAAAAAUACACUUAGAAUGGUUAAUGUCUUGCAUUUUGAGUUUAGAUGUAGAGAUUAAUUAGAAAUUGCAUUUGAUAUGAAUCAUCACAGAAUGCUUCGUUUUGUGGCUGCCUGUAGCAAACUAUUGUACCUGAAGUUACAAUAUUUGUCAGGAAUUUUCAGUUUCAUGUUUGUAGUUAUGUUGUUACAGAGUGCACUUGCAAUCUGAAUCCCAAGUUUAGAUGUAAUUAUUAGAGAAUACAUUUGAUGUGAAUCAUCACAGAAUCCUUCGUUUUGUGGCUGCCUGCAGCAAACUAAUGCAUCUGAAGUUUCAAUAUUUUGCCCGGAAUAUUUGCCAAAUGUUGUAUCCGCAGUUCAUUUUAGUUGGUGCAUGCCAUUAAUACACUGGAAGCUAACAAUCAUGUAAAAAAAUCAAAUGUGCUAAUUGAUUUUGGUUUUAGAAGAUGCUCUUAACAUCUCAUAUCAUUACUAUCUUUGGAACAUUUGAUAGGAGAAUGCAAUGAUUAUGAGUAAUAGGAAAUUUAAUCAGUAGAAUGAAAAUAUCUAUGGUAUUUUUCUUUUCUUUAACAUAACAAUCACAAGUUUCUUGUUUUCUUUUGAGAAACUUUGAUUAUGAUCACUCAUUGUAUUGCUAAUUCCCAACUAAUUUUUAUCUGCUACCUUCCUGCAUGGAACAAUUAUAACAGCUUAUUAUGUAUUUAAGAUGGAAGAUGUAAGUCACUCCAAUUAAAGGCCUCAAAUUCAUAACUUUCAGGUUCUUGCUGAGAUUAGACCGUACCUCGCUGGGACAGGAGGUGGAGUGCUUGAACUUGUUCAAAUCAAUGAUUAUGUUGUCAAGGUUAUGCUUAGCGGGCCUGCAGCUGAGGUUAUGACUGUUCGUGUCGCUCUGACACAAAAGUUGAAAGACAAGAUACCUGCCAUUGCAGCUGUACAGCUGAUCGAUUAACUGAGGAACGGUGAGAACAAUAAUUUUAUUAAGGGAAAAAUAGAAAGUUAGAAUCUUCUGGUAGAGUAUUCAUAUUCUUCAGUAAAGAGUUUGAUUUUGGUUGUAAGAUCAAUUUCUAACCUGGGAAAUUCUUCGUUUCCUGACAGGAUAUAGUAUCUGUUAUUAUGCCUCAGUUGAUGGCAAUGAAAUAAUUUCAUAGUUGUUUUCAACUUUUCUGGGGAUGAUAAUUGAUGGAAUUUUAUCAAACUUUUGUAUCAACCCGUUGAUAAUUUUAAUCUGGACACUAUUCUGGUUCAUUCUAUUUGCAUUGCUCAGAAAGAGGGAGAGUUGAAGAAAUUGAAUUUUCAUCUGCUUGAAGAGUGAAGUGAAAUAGGGAAUAUG